CGAUGGGAUCAGCCAGAUACAGGUCCGCCUGAGCAGUUUAUCCAUAGCACCGGUUCCCAUGCUUGCGCCAGUGUUGUUCCCCAACGCAGACAAGCUCGUUAUCGAGGCUCCAGAUCCAGUGACAGCAUCUUUCCCUAAGCACCGAUGUUGCAGCUCAUGGCUCAUCGCCUCAUCAUGUAGGCAUUCUGCAUUGAAGGCUCUGCUCAUCGCCAAAUCCAGGAUAUAUUGUUUGGUUCAACUUCAGAGGGGAAUAACAAUGGAUUUGAGUCGACAAUGGAUGCAAAGCCUAGGGCCACCUCAGUACCAGCACAUUAUGUAUUCCUCAUUCCCUCCUAAUCAGCCUAUUGUUAUGUACUGAACUUUGCUUGCUUCGUCCAUAGCAAUUAGUUAAAUAUCAUGUUCGAUCGGAUUGUUUCAACUGUUGAAGGAAUCAGGAUUGACUGUAAGCAAACA
Molecule: long non-coding RNA, 453 nt
Organism: Panicum hallii
Lineage: Eukaryota; Viridiplantae; Streptophyta; Magnoliopsida; Poales; Poaceae
Exons: 3
Source: RefSeq, a predicted model, not a curated record